CCACCGGAGGAAGAGGAGCUAAUUGCAUACAUGCUUUGAGGCCUUGGAUCUGAAUACGAUCCAUUGGUGACAAGUACCACCACACACACUGACAACAUCAAUGUCAGUGAUGUGUACGCACACAUGCUCAGUUAUGUGC
Molecule: small nucleolar RNA, 139 nt
Organism: Phragmites australis (common reed)
Lineage: Eukaryota; Viridiplantae; Streptophyta; Magnoliopsida; Poales; Poaceae
Product: small nucleolar RNA Z247
Exons: 1
Source: RefSeq, a predicted model, not a curated record